CCUGCACAGGUGCUGCAUGGCUGUCGUCAGCUCGUGUCGUGAGAUGUCCGGUUAAGUCCGGUAACGAGCGCAACCCUCACUGUGUGUUAUACGUGUCACACGGGACUGCCGGUAUCAAGCCGGAGGAAGGUGGGGAUGACGUCAAGUCAGCAUGGCCUUUAUGUCUGGGGCUACACACACGCUACAAUGGCCAGUACAAUAGGUUGCAAGACCGCGAGGUGGAGCCAAUCCUAAAAGCUGGUCUCAGUUCGGAUUGCAGGCUGCAACCCGCCUGCAUGAAGUCGGAGUUGCUAGUAACCGCGCGUCAGCUAUAGUGCGGUGAAUACGUUCCCGGGCCUU
Molecule: ribosomal RNA, 339 nt
Filed under: uncultured Anaerolineaceae bacterium
Lineage: Bacteria; Bacillati; Chloroflexota; Anaerolineae; Anaerolineales; Anaerolineaceae
Description: bacterial SSU rRNA
Rfam family: Bacterial small subunit ribosomal RNA
Source: RNAcentral